CACAAAGGUUUGGUCCUAGCCUUACUAUUAAUUCAAAUUUUAAUUAUACAUGUAAGACUCAACACCCCAGUGAGAAUGUCCCCUCUUUACUAAUUAAAAUAAGGGAACUGGUAUCAGGCACCAAAAGCCCACGACACCUUGCUUAGCCACACCUCCACAGGAAUUCAACAGUAAUUAAUAUUGAACCAUUAGCGACAGCUAGAUUCAGUAAAAAUUAACAGAGUCGGUAAAUCUCGUGCCAGCCACCGCGGUUAUACGAAAGACUCAAAUUAAUACUCACGGCCUAAAGGGUAGUUAAAGAAAUAAUUAAAUAAGAUUAACCUCUUUCCCUUGCUGUUAUACCCAAAGGAAAUAAAAAAUUCAUAAACGAAAGUUAUCUUAAAACACUUGAACCUACUAAAGUUAGGAAACAAACUAGGAUUAGAUACCCUACUAUGCCUAACCCUAAACUUUUAUCCGCCAGAAUAUUACAAGCUAAAGCUUAAAACUCAAAGGACCUGGCGGUGCUCUAUACCAUCUAGAGGAGCCUGUUCUAUAAUCGAUAAUCCCCGAUAAACCUCACCACUUCUUGCCAAUACAGCCUAUAUACCACCGUCCUCAGUUCACCCUUCAAAGGAUUAAUAGUAAACAAAAUUACUUUAAGUAAAAAAAUCAGGUCAAGGUGUAGCACAUGAAGUAGAAAGAAAUGGGCUACAUUUUUUAAAUUAAAAGACACGGAAUACUUUAUGAAAUAAAGUAUGAAGGAGGAUUUAGAAGUAAAAAGAAAAAAGAGUGUUCUUUUUAAAUUGGCAAUGGAGCGCGCACACACCGCCCGUCACCCUCUUCAAUAUCAUAUACAGAAGAGAUAAGUCGUAACAUGGUAAGUCUACCGGAAGGUGGCCUUGGAU
RNAcentral lists this non-coding RNA (887 nucleotides) under Ensatina eschscholtzii (common Ensatina). The record is from RNAcentral. Lineage: Eukaryota; Metazoa; Chordata; Amphibia; Caudata; Plethodontidae.